UGUGCCAGCAGCCGCGGUAAUACGUAGGGUGCAAGCGUUAAUCGGAAUUACUGGGCGUAAAGCGUGCGCAGGCGGUUUUGUAAGUCUGACGUGAAAUCCCCGGGCUCAACCUGGGAAUUGCGUUGGAGACUGCAAGGCUGGAGUCUGGCAGAGGGGGGUAGAAUUCCACGUGUAGCAGUGAAAUGCGUAGAGAUGUGGAGGAACACCGAUGGCGAAGGCAGCCCCCUGGGUCAAGACUGACGCUCAUGCACGAAAGCGUGGGGAGCAAACAGGAUUAGAUA
RNAcentral lists this ribosomal RNA (281 nucleotides) under uncultured Burkholderiales bacterium. Its description in RNAcentral is "partial 16S ribosomal RNA". It matches the Rfam family "Bacterial small subunit ribosomal RNA", at positions 504 to 784 of the family's 1533-position model. The record is from RNAcentral. Lineage: Bacteria; Pseudomonadati; Pseudomonadota; Betaproteobacteria; Burkholderiales.